AUGAACGCUGGCGGCGUGCCUAAUACAUGCAAGUCGAGCGGACAGACGAGGAGCUUGCUCCUUUGACGUUAGCGGCGGACGGGUGAGUAACACGUGGAUAACCUACCUAUAAGACUGGGAUAACUUCGGGAAACCGGAGCUAAUACCGGAUAACAUGUUGAACCGCAUGGUUCAACAGUGAAAGACGGUCUUGCUGUCACUUAUAGAUGGAUCCGCGCCGCAUUAGCUAGUUGGUAAGGUAACGGCUUACCAAGGCAACGAUGCGUAGCCGACCUGAGAGGGUGAUCGGCCACACUGGAACUGAGACACGGUCCAGACUCCUACGGGAGGCAGCAGUAGGGAAUCUUCCGCAAUGGGCGAAAGCCUGACGGAGCAACGCCGCGUGAGUGAAGAAGGUCUUCGGAUCGUAAAACUCUGUUAUUAGGGAAGAACAAAUGUGUAAGUAACUAUGCACGUCUUGACGGUACCUAAUCAGAAAGCCACGGCUAACUACGUG
This 496-nucleotide ribosomal RNA is filed under the name uncultured bacterium. RNAcentral's name for it is "partial 16S ribosomal RNA". It matches the Rfam family "Bacterial small subunit ribosomal RNA", at positions 29 to 507 of the family's 1533-position model. The record is from RNAcentral.